CUACGUGCCAGCAGCCGCGGUAAUACGGAAGGUCCGGGCGUUAUCCGGAAUUAUUGGGUUUAAAGGGAGCGCAGGCGGGAGUAUAAGUCAGCUGUUAAAUAUCAGGGCCCAACUCUGUUAUGCAGUUGAAACUAUAUUUCUUGAGUACGCACAGGGAUGGCGGAAUUCAGGGUGUAGCGGUGAAAUGCUUAGAUAUCCUGAAGAACUCCGAUCGCGAAGGCAGCCAUCCGGGGCGUAACUGACGCUGAGGCUCGAAGGUGCGGGUAUCGAACAGGAUUAGAUACCCUGGUAGUCCACGCUGUAAACGAUGUCGAUUUGGGGGUUGAACUUUAAGUUUGGCGCCCGUAGCUAACGUGAUAAAUCGACCGCCUGGGGAGUACGGCCGCAAGGUUAAAACUCAAAUGAAUUGACGGGGGCCCGCACAAGCGGUGGAGCAUGUGGUUUAAUUCGAUGCAACGCGAAGAACCUUACCUACUCUUGACAUCCAGA
RNAcentral lists this ribosomal RNA (489 nucleotides) under uncultured bacterium. RNAcentral's name for it is "bacterial SSU rRNA". It matches the Rfam family "Bacterial small subunit ribosomal RNA", at positions 501 to 992 of the family's 1533-position model. The record is from RNAcentral.